RNAcentral lists this ribosomal RNA (253 nucleotides) under uncultured Peredibacter sp. RNAcentral's name for it is "partial 16S ribosomal RNA". It matches the Rfam family "Bacterial small subunit ribosomal RNA", at positions 524 to 776 of the family's 1533-position model. Lineage: Bacteria; Pseudomonadati; Bdellovibrionota; Bacteriovoracia; Bacteriovoracales; Bacteriovoracaceae. The record is from RNAcentral.
UACGAAGGGUGCAAGCGUUGUUCGGAUUUAUUGGGCGUAAAGCGCGCGUAGGCGGACCAGCAAGUCAGGUGUGAAAUCUCGGAGCUCAACUCCGAAACUGCGCCUGAAACUAUUGGACUAGAAUACCAGAGAGGGAAGAGGAAUUUCACAUGUAGGGGUAAAAUCCGUAGAGAUGUGAAGGAACACCGGAGGCGAAAGCGUUUUCCUGGAUGGUUAUUGACGCUGAGGCGCGAAAGCGUGGGGAGCAAACAGG